UGGCUUACCUGGAAAAUUCAAUGUAAAUAGUUUUUACAUUGUUUUUAAAAUAUGCCAUUUGUUUACUUACCCCAGUAGCUAUUUCUUUGAAAAGAGAAAUAGCUCAGAGACCCGAUUCAGAAAAAUAAAAUUUUAAAGUUAGAUGCUGUUGCGCAUCAGGCGAAAUGAAAAAGAAAAUGACAAGAAGGAAAUGGAUGGCGUUGCCAUUAUAAAAGAAUAGGGAUCGUUCAAUCGUUAUUUGGCUACGGAUUUAUACAACCAUGGCUGAGUAGCCAUUUCGUAGCUACCCUAUCGCCAUCAAUAAGGUCCAUAAUAAAUAUUGGAAAUUUGAGGAAAAAUGGUGGCAAAAUGAAGCGACUAUAAAAAGGAGGAAAAUAGGAAAAUUGGCAACAUAGUGUUGCAAAAGAUCUAAGCAAGAAGACGGUCCAAAGUAGUUUUUAACACUAAAAAAAAAAGUGAAUAUUUAUAUGUGUGUUUACUUGUUAACAAAAAGUUCCCCAAAAUCACAAUAUUUUUUUUGGUCUCCACUGACUGCUGAGUGGGGAUCUGGUGUUAAAUGCCCGGUCCUUGGGUUUAAAUUGGCCGUUGAAUUUGAAGGUCUCCCUGUUUGGUGUCAUACUUCUGUUUGGUGUCCGUAUCUGAGGCAGCGGAAUUUGGGUCAAAAUUGAUCGGAUGGCCACAAGUUGGAGAUUUUUUUUUGAUCGCAAGUUGUCAUCUCCUAUGGCAUAAAAAUUAAUAUUUUGCCACGUAAUUAAUGACCAGGUAAUAGACACCCUUUUUCUUUAUCCAUGUUUUGGAGCACGGAAGAAUAUCCAGGGAAUUGCAACUAAAAAAGAAAGAGAAAUCGAAAAAUUAAGAAAAUUUAUUUGAAAAAAAAUCAUAAUAAUAAAAAAAAAAAAAAACAAAAAAAAAAAUUAAUUUAAGUAACGAUAGGAAAAUAUUGAUAGACAUGCAAAUUAUUUUAAUAUAAACAUAUUGCAAAUUUAAUUGAAUAGUAUAAGUAUGUGUUGUGAUGUCCUCUCUUAAUGUUUUAAUGUAAGGAUGUUUAACGCCAGUUUCCUUUAAAUUUCACCCAGUACUAUAUGAGCAAUAUCCAGGGAAAGCUAGAGGGUGUAGUCGUAUGUUUCAAUUCGAGCCAAUUUUGGCUAGUGAGGCCGUUGUAAGAGAGCUCCUUUACAGUAGGUAAUAUUUUGUUUAGAAUUUGAGGUCUGAAAAGUGCAGACAAAAUUCCCUAGGUUUCUCACAAGGAAAAUUUGCUAUUUUUCAUAUGUUUACAAUUUUUUUUUAAUCUGGUGUUAGAUUGUCCGUUUUAAAGAUCGACAAAAUUUAUCUGUAUUUAGCUGUAAGUCCUUUCUGUCAAUAAAUAAUGUUGUGAUUAGAAUUAGACUAAAAAUAAA
This is a long non-coding RNA of Musca domestica (house fly), 1397 nucleotides long. RefSeq lists it as uncharacterized. The transcript is spliced from 2 exons. The record is from RefSeq and is a predicted model, not a curated record. Lineage: Eukaryota; Metazoa; Arthropoda; Insecta; Diptera; Muscidae.